UGAUUUUACUCUUUCCUAUUUUUUUAUUUGAUUCAAACUUAUAAUAUUACUCUUCAAUCGUUUCCUAUUUUUUUGAUUUGGUUCCCAUAAAAUCUGCAAUUAAAUCAUUAGUUUCCAAACCCAAAUAAAGAAUCUGCCUCUUCUUUCUUCUCUCUCUCUCUCUCUCUCUCUCUCUCUCUCUCUCUCUCUCUUCCAACAAAUCUGACAAUUUCUUUCGCCACCAAGUUGCCAUUCCUCACGACAACCACCACUACGAUCAUCCAUCUCCACAGCCGUCACUGCACCCCACUGACCUACAAACUCACCCUCAUCGACAGAUCUGGAAAUUAGCAAGAACAGACAAAGGUAUGUCUUUAAAUCGUCUAUGUUAUUAUGUGUGUAUGUGUGUUUAACUGUGUGCGCAUGUGUUUUAACUAUGUGUGUAUGUCAAUUUCAUGGGUAUGAAUUUAGAUCUUGAAACCAACAUUAUCGAUUUUUUAUUUAUAAUUUGAUUGGAUUUAAUUUUGAUUUUCCAGGUUCGGAUUCUUCUCAUUACAUUAUGUUCUUAAACUUAGAGCAAGGAAUUUGGUGGUUAUUUUUCUUCUCAAUGCAGCUAAUUCAACUUUAUGCAUUCAAUUGAGGCUGUUGCUACACUCAAGUUUCUUUCCAUGUUUGUUAUAUACUUUUAAAUAAAAGAUGUUGUUAGCCUAUAUUGAUUAUUUAGUUUAGUAGUUACUUUAUGUUUUAGAUUGUAUCAUGUAUGGAACUUCAAGAUGAAACUCCUAAGAAAAAAAUAAAUAAAUAAGAAGGCAGAAAAAACCCAAGAGGGUGAAUCGUACAAGGUUAAAUGAAAAAAUAGCAAGGUUUGAAAUUACAUAUAACAUCAAGAUCUCUUUUUACCUAAAUCUAACUAUAACAUACAUAGGGUUUGUUAAUGAUUGUGUUAAUGACAUUUAAUAGGUUUGAAAUUGCAUUCUGGUUAUUAUAUCACUGCAUGUAAUCUUGCUUAUUAAGAGGUAAAUGUUGAUACCUCACAAGCACAAGUGUUUUUUUCAUUAUUUAACUUUUCAAGUAAAAAGUCCCGCACAUUGACUAUUUGACAUAUUCAAUGUCGAUUCAUGACAUACUUCAUCUUUUUUUUUUUUUUUUGCUUUUGCUUUAAUGAAGUUGAUGCAAGUUUAUGGUGCAUUGAUGCAAUCACUCAGACACAAGGUUGUAGAAAGAUAUUUCAUUAAGUAUUUGAAUAUGUUCUUUUUAAAUGUCUUCACUGAAAAAAAAAGGUUAGAGGACUACUAAAUUGAUUUAUGCUUCCUAAGAUAUAUACAUGUUUGAUUUUUUUUUUUAGAUUUAGAUUUUUGUUUUGUAUUUUAAUAUUCCAAUGCAUACACUUAAGGUUUGUUGUAGAUUUUUAAGAGUUCGUAUAAAUUUGAAAGGGUUCUGGAAUGGGUUUGGUGGAAAGGGCAUUUUGGUAAAAAAAUAAGGAAAGAAAGAAAUGUAUAUUGGGGUUUCAAAAUUUGUUUUGGGCAUGGCUCAAGUCUUAUUGUUUGAUGCAUGAUGUAUUUAAAGUUAUUAUGCUUGCAUUGUUUGAUGCAGGACGAAGUUAAUCAAACAAAGAUUUAGAAAUAUUUAUUCAAAUUGACGAGUCUACCCUUGAGGCCGAUGGAGUUAUUUACACAAAUAAAGAUGGUGAGGUUUUCAAAAAUAGCAUGCUAUAUUAAGUUAAAAGAACGUACAAUUAUUUUAAUAGGAAAAAAAUGAAAAUAUGCUCCUACAAUAAUAACAAGAUGUUAUUUCUUGCCUUUUGUCUUAUCAAAAUUGAAUUGCUUUUCGGAUCCGGACAAACUGAUAUAGUAUUAUAGCAUUUAACAAAGUCGGUAAAUAACAUCCUUCUAUGUGUCAACCACACGUUAAAUGCGGAAGUAGCAACGUACUUGCAUUUAUUUUUCAACCAUAGUGUCCUACUUUCUUUGUGAAAUAGUGGAACUGCUGAAAAUGCAAAUUUAUAUACAAGCAUUUAUUACAUGUGUUAAGUUAGCAUUGUAACUUCAUAUUCUAAUUUUGAAUUAUAACAUCCUAUUUUCAUAUGUUUUCUGUUAAAGCGUUUGUAUUUUUAGUAAAUAUUUUUUUAAAGAAUUGUACUUUGGAAAACAAAUCCUGUCAAACAUUUUUUUUAGUUUAAUUCUUACUAGCACAUUAUAAUCCUAUCCUUUAUCAGUUUCUAUUUUCUUAGUUGUUAAUGGCUGUGUUAUGUAGAAAAACAAGUUGGAUGAUGGUAUUUGAAGCUCACCCAACGAAUUUAUUUUUGACCGUUAUACUGAAACAUGCUGACUGUUACUGUGGGUUUACCUUUUCAAGAUUUCAGUACAUUUGACUUAUUGGGUCUUGUGAUUAAACAUUUUUUCCACUUUAAACACAUAAAAAAUCAAAGUUGUCUGGAACUCUCAAUUGGGUUGUAUCAACUAUGGUUGGAGUUUUCGCUGCAUGUUAUAUGGAGGCAUAAAGGAAGCCUCUACUUCUGUUGUAAGUAUGAAUGUGCACAAAAAGGUCUUCAUAUGGAGGCAUAUCGGGACAUCUCAUACUUUUAACAUUAUUUAUUGAUUAUGAAAUUAAUUUUAUGUUAUUUUACUUUCUCAUCCGUGGAUUCCACGGGUUAUAAAUAAA
RNAcentral lists this long non-coding RNA (2640 nucleotides) under Lactuca sativa (garden lettuce). RNAcentral's name for it is "long non-coding RNA (LSAT_LNC008254)". The record is from RNAcentral. Lineage: Eukaryota; Viridiplantae; Streptophyta; Magnoliopsida; Asterales; Asteraceae.